UGAGGAAUAUUGGUCAAUGGGCGAGAGCCUGAACCAGCCACGUCGCGUGAAGGAAGACUGACCUUACGGUUUGUAAACUUCUUUUGUAGAGGGGUAAUGGCAGAUACGUGUAUUUGCGUGAAAGUACUCUACGAAUAAGCAUCGGCUAACUCCGUGCCAGCAGCCGCGGUAAUACGGGGGAUACGAGCGUUAUCCGGAUUUAUUGGGUUUAAAGGGUGCGUAGGUGGCUGAUUAAGUCAGUGGUGAAAAGCUAUGGCUCAACCAUAGUCUUGCCGUUGAUACUGGUUAGCUUGAGUGUAGAUGAUGUAGGCGGAACGUGUAGUGUAGCGGUGAAAUGCAUAGAUAUUACGCAGAACUCCGAUUGCGAAGGCAGCUUACAAAACUACUACUGACACUGAGGCACGAAAGCGUGGGUAUCAAACAGG
RNAcentral lists this ribosomal RNA (425 nucleotides) under Verrucomicrobiota bacterium. RNAcentral describes it as "Verrucomicrobia bacterium partial 16S ribosomal RNA". It matches the Rfam family "Bacterial small subunit ribosomal RNA", at positions 355 to 776 of the family's 1533-position model. Lineage: Bacteria; Pseudomonadati; Verrucomicrobiota. The record is from RNAcentral.